Molecule: ribosomal RNA, 425 nt
Filed under: uncultured bacterium
Lineage: Bacteria
Description: partial 16S ribosomal RNA
Rfam family: Bacterial small subunit ribosomal RNA
Source: RNAcentral
GUGGGGAAUAUUGGGCAAUGGGCGAAAGCCUGACCCAGCAACGCCGCGUGAAGGAAGAAGGUCUUCGGAUCGCAAACUUCUAUCCUUGGUGAAGAUAAUGACGGUAGCCGAGAAGGAAGCCCCGGCUAACUACGUGCCAGCAGCCGCGGUAAUACGUAGGGGGCAAGCGUUGUCCGGAAUGAUUGGGCGUAAAGGGCGCGUAGGCGGCCUGGUAAGUCUGGAGUGAAAGUCCUGCUUUUAAGGUAGGAAUUGCUUUGGAUACUGUCGGGCUUGAGUGCAGGAGAGGUAAGUGGAAUUCCCGGUGUAGCGGUGAAAUGCGUAGAGAUCGGGAGGAACACCAGUGGCGAAGGCGACUUACUGGACUGUAACUGACGCUGAGGCGCGAAAGUGUGGGGAGCAAACAGGAUUAGAAACCCGGGUAGUCC